Molecule: ribosomal RNA, 771 nt
Filed under: uncultured bacterium
Lineage: Bacteria
Description: bacterial SSU rRNA
Rfam family: Bacterial small subunit ribosomal RNA
Source: RNAcentral
AGAGUUUGAUCAUGGCUCAGGACGAACGCUGGCGGCGUGCUUAACACAUGCAAGUCGAGCGGAAAGGCCCUUCGGGGUACUCGAGCGGCGAACGGGUGAGUAACACGUGAGCAACCUGCCCUUAGCUCCGGGAUAGCUCCGGGAAACCGGAAUUAAUACCGGAUACGACCACGAUCGACAUCGGCCGUGGUGGAAAGGAUUUCCGGCUAAGGAUGGGCUCGCGGCCUAUCAGCUAGUUGGUGGGGUAAUGGCCCACCAAGGCGACGACGGGUAGCCGGCCUGAGAGGGCGACCGGCCACACUGGGACUGAGACACGGCCCAGACUCCUACGGGAGGCAGCAGUGGGGAAUAUUGCGCAAUGGGCGAAAGCCUGACGCAGCGACGCCGCGUGGGGGAUGAAGGCCUUCGGGUUGUAAACCCCUUUCAGCAGGGACGAAGCGCAAGUGACGGUACCUGCAGAAGAAGCGCCGGCUAACUACGUGCCAGCAGCCGCGGUAAUACGUAGGGCGCAAGCGUUGUCCGGAAUUAUUGGGCGUAAAGAGCUCGUAAGCGGUCUGUUACGUCCGCUGUGAAAACCCAGGGCUUAACCCUGGGCUUGCAGUGGAUACGGGUAGACUAGAGGCAGGUAGGGGAGAAUGGAAUUCCCGGUGUAGCGGUGAAAUGCGCAGAUAUCGGGAGGAACACCGGUGGCGAAGGCGGUUCUCUGGGCCUGACCUGACGCUGAGGAGCGAAAGCGUGGGGAGCGAACAGGAUUAGAUACCCUAGUAGUCC